This 282-nucleotide long non-coding RNA is filed under the name Setaria italica (foxtail millet). Its description in RNAcentral is "long non-coding RNA (SITA_LNC002887)". The record is from RNAcentral. Lineage: Eukaryota; Viridiplantae; Streptophyta; Magnoliopsida; Poales; Poaceae.
GUAAGUUAGUUGUCAAUACUACCGGAGCAAUUAUAUUUCUCCAAUCAUUUUUUGGGGAUACCCUGCAUUACAACUAUAUAUUUAUGUUUGCUCCACCAUGUUUGAUCCGUGUGAACUGGAGAAUUUAUCCGUUUAACAAUUUUACUGGUAUUCCAGGAGUUUUUAAGAGUCUAUUUGCACAUUCUGAUGCAAGACUCCCAUCCCUUUUGCAACACUAAUGCAUGUGAUUGUUGGAAGGGAAAUUGAGGUUUCAAAGAACCCUGAGUCUCAGCUAUAUAUGCA